This is a non-coding RNA of Camelus ferus (Wild Bactrian camel), 73 nucleotides long. NCBI's taxonomy places the organism in Eukaryota, Metazoa, Chordata, Mammalia, Artiodactyla, Camelidae. The record is from Rfam.
GGAGGGUACAGCUCAGUGGUAGAGUGCAUGCCUAGCAUACACGAGGUCCUGGGUUCAAUCCCCAGAACCUCCA